CUCUCUCUCGUUCCUAAGAGGGAAAUUACAGUACAUCAGAUUUUCCCCCCCUUUCCUGGCAAGCAAGGCAUUCAUUGUUCACCUGAAGGGUACUGGAGCAGGAUAGAACACCAAUUGCCUAAGUCCAUAAUAUGAGCCAAGCCUUCAGGGCCCUUUCUGAAGGAGGCAGAUACAAGUCCAAAAUACUGCAUGGACAAGGUUUAAAAGAGGUGCGGAACACAAACAGGAUUGCUUGGAGGUCUCUCAUGCCAGCCUCUUAUGCAUGGGUCUACAGGGACUUUGGAAGACACAAGUCUGCCAAGGUUCUUCAUGAAGAACUCAAGGAAGAAACAGGAUGAAUAAUUCACCCUUCCUGAGGACCGAAAAAUGGCUACAAACUUCCUGAGAUCAAGGAGCAGGUUUUCAUCUACGUUUGAACUGUGUGCCAUCUGAAUCCAAGGUAGGGGACAGAACCUUUAAAACUGUACAGAUUUUAACCAAAUGUGUAUAGUGAAAAUAUAAUGUAUGCGAGGGAUCACUUCUGGUGGUGUAGCCACUCUGAGAAACUGGUUUUUGCAGGUUUUAAAAACCAGGAGUCUGUUCCAGCAAGGAGCAACAAUAGUCAGAAAAAAGAAAAAUGCAUGGGAAGUAUGGUAUGCAAAGCUAUUUGUUUGCUAUUCAUUUGGACAUCUCUUAAGAGAGUGUAAUCAAAUUUUGCAUUGUGGUUCCUGAGAUUAAGGAGCAGGUUUUCAUCUCUGUUUGGAUACAGUUGGAUGGCAUUUUGAAUCAAGAUGGAGGACAGAACCUUCCUAAGCUGCACUGGUUUUUUUCUUUC
This is a long non-coding RNA of Zootoca vivipara (common lizard), 814 nucleotides long. RefSeq lists it as uncharacterized. The record is from RefSeq and is a predicted model, not a curated record. Lineage: Eukaryota; Metazoa; Chordata; Lepidosauria; Squamata; Lacertidae.